This 182-nucleotide long non-coding RNA is filed under the name Dermacentor andersoni. RNAcentral's name for it is "uncharacterized LOC126526814". The record is from RNAcentral. Lineage: Eukaryota; Metazoa; Arthropoda; Arachnida; Ixodida; Ixodidae.
AAAACUGCAACGGAUUUGAAACAGAAUGGGCGUGCAAGACAUAUUGUGAAGAUUGAAGCGAAAGCAUUGAGUAUGUAUGGAGCAGUGCUGUAUCUCUGGUGACCACUAGAAUAUGCGACAGGUUGUAACGUGGUUGUGGCUUCCACAAGAUUGCCAAGUUUCAUUAAAAGGUUCCUCUAUGC